GUGCUCAGUUAAGCAGCACAUAUACUAAAACUGGAAUAAUACACUACAGAAAAGAUUUGCAGGCCCCCCCGCACAAAGAUGCCUCAUAACUUUGUAGUGUUUCACAUUAAA
This 111-nucleotide small nuclear RNA is filed under the name Chinchilla lanigera (long-tailed chinchilla). The record is from RNAcentral. Lineage: Eukaryota; Metazoa; Chordata; Mammalia; Rodentia; Chinchillidae.